GAUGAACGCUGGCGGCGUGCUUAACACAUGCAAGUCGAGCGAUGAAGUUUCCUUUGGGAAACGGAUUAGCGGCGGACGGGUGAGUAACACGUGGGUAACCUGCCUCAUAGAGUGGAAUAGCCUUCCGAAAGGAAGAUUAAUACCGCAUAACGUUGAAAGAUGGCAUCAUCAUUUAACCAAAGGAGCAAUCCGCUAUGAGAUGGACCCGCGGCGCAUUAGCUAGUUGGUGGGGUAACGGCCUACCAAGGCGACGAUGCGUAGCCGACCUGAGAGGGUGAUCGGCCACAUUGGGACUGAGACACGGCCCAGACUCCUACGGGAGGCAGCAGUGGGGAAUAUUGCACAAUGGGGGAAACCCUGAUGCAGCAACGCCGCGUGAGUGAUGAAGGUUUUCGGAUCGUAAAGCUCUGUCUUUGGGGAAGAUAAUGACGKACCCA
RNAcentral lists this ribosomal RNA (437 nucleotides) under uncultured bacterium. RNAcentral's name for it is "bacterial SSU rRNA". It matches the Rfam family "Bacterial small subunit ribosomal RNA", at positions 28 to 462 of the family's 1533-position model. The record is from RNAcentral.